This 468-nucleotide ribosomal RNA is filed under the name uncultured bacterium. RNAcentral describes it as "partial 16S ribosomal RNA". It matches the Rfam family "Bacterial small subunit ribosomal RNA", at positions 28 to 507 of the family's 1533-position model. The record is from RNAcentral.
GACGAACGCUGGCGGCGUGCUUAACACAUGCAAGUCGAACGGAAAGGCCCUGCAUUUGUGGUGUUCUCGAGUGGCUAACGGGUGAGUAACAAGUGAGUAACCUGCCCUUUACUUUGGGAUAACUUCAGGAAACUGGGGCUAAUACCGCAUAGUAGCUCCUGCUGCAUGGUGGGGGUUGGAAAGUUUCGGCGGUUGGGGAUGGACUCGCGGCUUAUCAGCUUGUUGGUGGGGUAGUGGCUUACCAAGGCUUUGACGGGUAGCCGGCCUGAGAGGGUGACCGGCCACAUUGGGACUGAGAGACGGACCAGACUCCUACGGGAGGCAGCAGUGGGGAAUAUUGCACAAUGGGCGGAAGCCUGAUGAAGAAACGCCGGGGGCGGGAUGAAGGCCUUCGGGUUGUAAACCGCGUAAGCCUGUGACGAAGCGUGAGUGACGGUAAUGGGUAAAGAAGCACCGGCUAACUACGUG